UAGAUCAAGUAACAAAUAAUAACUUGACAUUAUACCCAUAUCCAAAUCAAUUUAUUGGUACAGUUCGACAAUCUGUUUUAUUACAAGCUAAAGAUCAAGAUUUGGUUAUAAACAAUCCAAUAAGAUACUUUAUUCAAGAAACUAUUCCACCAAACUUUGAAAACUAUUUUACUGUAACUACAACAAGCCCUGUAAGCGGUUCUGAUUUAUACACGGGUGUUAUUACUCAAAUUAGAACUGUUAACCCCACAAACACAGAGUUAAAAAUAGUAGUAAGGGCUGAGGAAGAAUCCGUAAGAAGAAGAUUUGCUCGAGCUGUGGUAACUAUAACUAUCCGAGGAAUAAAUGAAAAUAUUCCAACCUUUACUACAUCCCUACCUGGUGGGAGUUUGAUUGGUUAUAUAAAAGAAAACUCACCUGGAGGUACAGCUGUCUCAGAUAGUAGCCAAUCAACAUUUUUCAGGAUUAUUGCAACAGAUACAGACAAGAGAAUCGGGGAUAAUCCAACUCAGUUCUUCUACCAGUCAGAUUCCAGUUUCUUUACUGUUACAAAUGAUGGGUUUGUGGUGGCAAGAAGUGCAAAUUUAGAUUUUGAGAAUGUUCAACAGCAUAUCG
Patella vulgata (common limpet) is the source of this 615-nucleotide long non-coding RNA. RefSeq lists it as uncharacterized. The transcript has 4 exons. The record is from RefSeq and is a predicted model, not a curated record. NCBI's taxonomy places the organism in Eukaryota, Metazoa, Mollusca, Gastropoda, Patellidae.